AUUUAUAAGAUUCUAAUACUACUAAAUCCAUGAUCUUCCUUCCUGGAUUUUGUCUGCCAGUAAUGUCCUAUAUCUACUUCAUUUUUUGAUUUUGUAAUUACUAUCUCUCUCAUCCAUGAAAGAGAAAGAAAGAAAAAGGCAUUAUAGAACAGCCAACAACAUAUGGAACUAAAUACAUUUAGGAAUAUAAUUUUCAGUUGCUCUGUGAAAAUGUAUCUUUCUAUUCUUGUUAUCAAGCAUUCAAUUCUGCAGUUUACUUAUUACAACAUUCUUAUUUAUGAAAGCAUGUGGGUUGUACAUAUGUCAGUUCAGGUGUUAAUUGGUAUCCA
RNAcentral lists this long non-coding RNA (329 nucleotides) under Panax ginseng (ginseng). RNAcentral describes it as "long non-coding RNA (PGIN_LNC009237)". The record is from RNAcentral. Lineage: Eukaryota; Viridiplantae; Streptophyta; Magnoliopsida; Apiales; Araliaceae.